UCCUGGGACAGUUGGAGGAAUUGGGAUGCGGUCCGUCGGCUGAGUGUGGAUCUCACAAACAUCGACAGGACGGUCCAGUCCCGCGAUUCUGGCCGGUGGAGCUUCAAACUUUACAUCCACCCAGCUGACAUGGAUUAACUGGAGCGGAGGAAGUCAGUUUCAAGUCCAGGCCCCUUCCCAGCCUGUGGUGGCCAGACGGUGUCAUGGCAUCCCGGCUGCUGGACCGUCUGAAGCGCUCGCUGUUUAAAGAUGGCCAGGGGGCGGGACCUGAGCAGGAAGAAAGUGGUGGACAGGAAGAGGAGGGGCUUAACGAGGACCACUGGGAGGCCGAGCUGGAGGAGGAGGAGGAGUGCGUGACCGAUCGGCUCGGAGGGACGCUGUGCUUCGACAGCGGAGGAGGAGGGCUGGAUGAUGGAGCAGAGGGCGAGGGUUCAGGACUAGACAGCGACUCUGACUUCCUGGGAGAGUCGAUGGAGGAGGGCAUCAGCAGCACAGACACCAGUCCGAUGGGCGUGUCUCCACUGGGCCCCUCCCCCUCCUCACUGUUGACUCGUCAGCUUCAGGAAAGCUGGAGGACCCUGCGUGGACUCGGAGGAGGAGGGAGUCCCGUCCCCUCUGUAGGACGGCAGACGGACAACUUGCUGUUUGAAGUGACCGAUGCUAGCGUGGUGCAGGACAGCUCCUCAAAAUAUGUGCUGUACACCAUCCACGUGAUCCAGUCAGGUGGUAGUGAUAAAACUCCAGCCAUCAUCACCCGGAGGUACUCUGACUUCCAGCGGCUCCAUGCCACUUUGCGCCGUAACCAUGGAGACCAGAUGGAGCGCGUCUGUUUCCCACGGAAAAAGCUGCGCAGGAACUUCACAGCGGAGACAAUCGCUAAGCGUAGCCGGGCAUUUGAACAGUACCUGUCUCACCUGUGUUCCUUGUCUGCCCUGAUGGGUGCACUGUGUGUCCGCCAGUUCUUCUUUCUAACUGACCUGCAGACUGGACAGCUGCUCAUCAGGGUGGGACGUUACCAGGAGGCCUUGGGUCCGCUGCUCAAUGCCAAGAGACUGCAGCAAAAACUGGGCUGGGCAUGUUCCCAUGACAACCAGACCCCUCCUCCAGCCUCCUCCCAUUGGUUCUUCACCCUGGUGGGACUGUCAUGCUGCUUCCAGGAGGUGGACCAGCUGGAAGAAGCAAGGGAUCACUGUGACCACGCCCUCCGUGUUCUGACCCCCGUUGAGACUGAGGAUAAGCCCCUGGCACCUGACAACAGCCCCCUCCCACCCGACAAUAACCCCCUCCCACAGACUGACGCCUCACCUGUGCAUCUGCAUAUUGACCAGCCCCACCCACUGCUGCUGCCGUUGCUGCGUUCGGUGGUUCGGCUGUCGUGGCAGACAGGAAGAGACAAGCGCCAGUGGGAGGAGCUUCUGCAGCACCUGGAGGAGCAGAGGGCGGGGCUAGACAAUCUUCCAACGAUCAAAGAGUUUCUGGUCAAACAUAACCUGCAGGAGAGUGAGGGUGAAGCCUAGAGCAACGCACACACUGCACAGUACAAUCACCAUGCAGUGCCACUUGCUGAGCAGCAGAGGUCGCCGUGCUUCAGCUCAUGUUGGUGUGAUGACGCAGAGUCAGAUCGUGGUGGCAGUGGGCUAAACGGGUCUUUCAAGAUGCCCCUCUCUCCAGCAAGGUUUUCCGUUUCUUCCUGGAGGAUCCAAAAUCGUUCCCAGGCCAGAUGAAGUAAGUUAUCCUAUAGAGUUUUUUGUCUACACCGGAGUCUUCUCACAGUUGCCCGGCAAACCUCCAAAUAAAGGAACCCAGGAAAAAUCCUCAUCAGAUGCCUGAUCCGUCUCAGCUGACUCCUUUCCAUGUGAGACAUUGAUACAUACAGACCAUAAUGACCACAGGUGAGGGCUGAAACAAAGACUGAUUCAUAAAUCAAGAGGUUUACCUUCUGGCUCAGCCCCCUCUUCACCACGACUGUGCGGCACAACCCCCACAUUAAUGAAAUGUCACAUCUAUCCAUCUUCCAUUCCAUUUUCCCAUCAAUCAUGAACAAAUCUUGAGAUACUUAAAUUCCCUAACUUUGGGCAGCAACUCACCACCAACCCAAAGAGAGCAAUCCAUCAGUUUUCAGCAGAGAACCAAGACCUCUGACUUGGACGACAACGGCCACCUUGGCUUGUUGGUUGACUCCUGGCAUCACAGACUGGUUUUAAAGUUGUUACCAGCUCUACCUAAGUGGGAUUCUUUGCCUCUAAAUUUCUCACAUGGUUUCAUUUCAGUGAAUAUUCAAAUGAUCUAGUAUCUCAGCAAAAAUAAAAGAUUAGAGGAAAAGUCAAAAAUUGGAAAAACAGUUUCAGAACUUAAGUUUUGCGUACCACUCCCUUUAGUCAUGUGAUAAGCUCUCAGAUUUACCUGCUUUCCUUGUAUAGAAAGCUGAAUAAAGUUGCUCAAACUAGCUCCACCUGCAGCAGCUACAACAGUAACAUGCUGCUGACUCACUGAGGCUUCACAACUAGUAAUCUAAUAAUGCCAGAUAUAAAAAUACAUCAAUAAGAGGGACCAAGCCAGUACUUUUGCUCAAAUACUUUACCUACCUUUUGCUUAUAUUUACUUUUACUUAAGUAGGAUUUUUCAUGUCGGACUUUUACGUGCAGUGAAGUAUUUUUUACGUUUAUCUGUUUAACUUAAGAAAUGGUUUGAAUAUUACUUCCACCAGUGGUACAAAUGACUGAUCCCAGGGGAAAAAAAACUAAAUAAUUAACCCUUUAUUGAGAACAACUAUUACUGCAAAAUAAUUUCCUUGUGAUUUUGAGAUAAAGACUGAAAAUAUGUAGUCACUAUAGUUCUGAUUACCUUCAGUGUAGCUUUCAUAAUUAUUUAAUUAUGUUAAGGAAACUGCUGUUGGCCCGAAAACGGCCUGCAAGUUCCUGCAGGGGAAAACAACAUAUACUCAGUAUUCUCAAUUUUGAUCUAUCUACAAAAAGAAAAAAUAUUUAUCUUGGUAUCUCCAGAAGAAAAUCAGGUUUGUUUAAGAUGAGUAACUCUUAAUAAAAGACAACUGUAUUGGUGCCUUACAUCCACCAUUUAAAUCAAGAAUCAAAAUUUGAAUAAAGAUUUAAUUGCAUCAUAUGUUCACAAAUCUGUGUUUAGAAGUAGCCGGGUAUGGGUUGUCAGAAAGAGGACGUAUGGUUUAUUUUUUUUUAUUAAUCUUAUAUACAGACAUUUACAGCAAUCUCUGCUAGAAUUAUUACAUAUAAUUAUGGUAACGUUGGUAAAUAAUUAGACGCUGUCCAGUUGUAGUUCCAGUCUGAGAGAAUAUAAAGUGUACAGUAGAUAUGUAUUUGUGAAGAAGAAGAAGAAGCAGGGUCGUCAGUUCAAAACAUAGUUCAGCAAUCAUUUCUCCUGCAAUUCAACUGUAAUAAAAUCACAAUAAAAAUGUCCCCAAAUCCCUUUGCUUCCACUUGAUCAUAAUAGUGGGCUGUUCCACAUGAGAUGAUGCUGUAUAUUUAAUAUUUAAAUCUUUUUCUAUGAGACAGAAAUCCACUGAUACCACCUUCGCCCUGCAGAUACAAAUGAUGCGUGGCCCAACAUGAAGAGGCGAUCUGAGGGGGCACAGUUUGGUGAGCAGCUUCUCUCCACACCACUUGAUUCUUUUUUGGUUUUCAGUAUGGAGGAAGCACAGCUCUGUGUAUCUCAAGUUCAAACACCAAAUGACAAAUUAUGAUGUAACAAUAUUUUUGGGGAUUUAUUCUUAAGGGACCACAUCAGCUCUAAAUUAUUAUUCUUUGAUGGCAUUAUUAGCACAAUGAAUCCGCACCGCUAAAUGAUAAACUUUCGAAUCCACUUUGGGACAAUGUGCAACAAACGGGAACACUUUCCACUAAAGAGUAAACUCAUUUAACCUCAUUCUUCUUUGAGAUAAAGCAGCAUUAGAGUAUUUAUGUGUGCUUACAGUUCAGAUUAAGAUGUGGGAUAUUAUUAGCCUAGCUUAGCACAAAGGUAGAAGGUCAAGGGAAACAGCUAGCCUAGUUUCAGAUCUCUGAGUCAGGUCUGGUGUUGUUCAUUAGCUGGGUUUUCAUCCAAAUGUAGAGCGAAGUUUUUAAAUAACUGGCAAACAAAAAUAUGAAUUUCUGUCUGUUUCUAUUCACAGCAAGUAAUAAAGGUGAUUAAAUACAUUUAUUGCAGGUCAUUGUACUCUGUCUUUGGCCAACAAAUGUUGCCUCAUGAUGACAAAAUGAAGUACAAAUUACAAAUAUGUUGGAACAUCGUCACUGAUUUCUCAGUAACAGAAAAACAUCUGACAUUUUGAUCAUUUAAUGCGCUUUUAAACAGAAACAAAAUAAAUGUCAAGCAGUUAGGUUCUGCCCACUAUUUGAACUGAUUAUAAGCUUUAUGGAUGAGGCUAGCCGAUCGAAACCUUUUCGGGCCAUUUUUGAGUGAUUUUCGACAUAUUUUUGUAAUUUUGAACAAACUUUCAGUCAUUCUGAGCCAUUUAAACUCAUUUUAAACUAACUGCAAGUCUUUUAGGACAGGUUUUUGUCAAUUUGUUUGAAGUCCUCUGAAUAAUUUCAACUUAUUUUGUACAACCAGCCAUCCAAAUAAAAUGCCUUGCACCUGUCCUCAUAACGGUCACCGGGGGAUUCAGCUCAGCUUCAGAAAGUUAGACUCACACAUAAAAAUGAACCAGCAAAUGAAUAUGUUGGUUAUUAUGUCAAACGGUAAGUAUUCUGGAUAGCUAAUGCUGGUUGUGAAAUGUCUGUUCCAGAGCGCUAAUUUCUGUUUCGUUUAGUCAGACUGAAAACAAAAAAAAAUGCUGAUGUAAAAAUCAGAUUUAUUGGGAAAACUGCAGGGAGCUUGAGCUUUUUGUAUGCAGUUGUUUCCUUUUUUGUAUGUUGAAACAGUAUUUCUGGAUGUGUGUUGAUCAGUCUUAUGUCUUUGUCUUCUUCAUUAUUGCGCCUUGUGCUUCUCCCUUUGUCUUUUAAAGUUCUUCUGUUUUCCAGCCUGUUAACGGCAUGUCCCUCGCUGCUUCCCUCCACCUUGCGUCGUUGCUUUCCUUUCUGAUUUAUUUUGACGUUCUUAUUUGGAUUGUUGCUUUUCUAGGACUUUAGAAGUUUUACCAGAUGGUUUUGAUUUAUUGUUGUUCUGCCUCCACAGUAAGUUUAGCUCGACAUCUCAUUCCCAAAGUCUGCCGUGGAGGUUAAGAUUGCAAAGUUUGAUGAUUUAUCUUUUAAUUGGUGAGCUUUGCAGAUGUUGGUGGGUGUAUUCUGUUGUUCUUUGGACAGAACUUUCGCUCAUCUUCAUGCUAAGCUCAGCUAAUCAUGUUCUGACACAGGUUUAUACGUAAGUGAAUAAUGAUGCUAAUUUGAAGGCUGCUGUCUGAUAACAGUUCUGAUGGAAAAGCUUUGCAAAUGCAGUAAUAAGUCUUUUUUUUUUUGUCUUUUAGCAGUUGAAAAACCCUUAAAGCACAUGAGUUGAAUUAGUUACUUCUCUAUCAAAACUGCAAAUUUAGUUGUGGAAUUUCCUGGCAGUAAUAUUUAGGUUUUCCCAUCAGGUUGAAGCAGGUUGUGCUCACAUUAUUCGACCCAGAUCGCAGCCCAGACUUCAUGCAGAUGUUGCAGCAGCUGUUUUCUGGUGAGUGUGAAUUAUUAACUGACCUAUUUUGCUCUACAGGGGAAACAGUUUGUCACAAGGUAACGUGCAGUCGAUGCAAGAGUGGCAAGAUCCUCCUCUUCCUCCUCACAGCCUGAGAGUCAGCAUUGCGGUCAGACAGGCUAACAGGACCGAAGGUAAGGAUACUGAAGCAGCGUUCAUCGAUGCUCUGGUGUCCUUGUGUAUUAUUCGUGUUACGCCUGCCUCCCUUUCUGCCGCCUUGCUCACUGUAGUUUCCUUUCUCUUCUCCGGCUCCACCUUCUCUUCCUCCUCCACCCUUUCUUCCACCUCUUCAUCUUUUCCCAGUGUUGCUGAGGGAGUUUCAGGGACUUUGGCAGUGGUGGUGGUUACUGUGGUGUCUUUAGAGAACCGGCCGAAGAGGGUGGUGGUGAUACUGGGAGCACUGUCAGUGGUGGCAGGCUGGACAGGGGGGUCAGCUGUUCCAGGAGGAUUAGUUUCUGGAGGCUGGAGGGAGGGAUCAGGUGUCACCUCCUCUUCAUCCUCUUCUUCUUCAUCUUCAAUGUCUUCCUCCACCAUGUCAGGAACUUGAAAACACAAAAGAAAAGUGCAUCAAGACUUUAAAGCUGCAGUUAAGGGUUGUUUUCAAGUAAUUAAAUGAUUUUUUCCUAAAAAUUUCCUGUUACAACUUCUCUUGGUGUCUUCAAAUGUCUUGAGCAUUCCGAAUAGCGGUUCAGAACUUGGAUCAGUUUACAAUGCUAUGGAGGCGACUUAUUCUAUACAUUCCUACAGUACCUUUUCUCGCCCUCUAUCUGAAAGUUCUGUUUUAGCUCCUGUCUCUUUAAGGCCCCUCUUGACAAGCCCUUUCUGCUCUGACUGGUCAGCUGACCCAACAAAAGCCAUGUAACAUUGGUUAAGUACCAUAAAGUCAGAUCUAUGAGUAUAAGCAGAGAGAUGUAGCUCCAUCAGAAGCAACUCCAGUGAGGAAAUGACGGCAUACAGAAAGGCAGCUGCUAAUUCUUUGAGGGACAAACUAGCCGCUCUGUAGGCAUUAUGUAAAUGGGCUACAUGGUGACAUAAAUAAGUAACACAAGAAAAGACUGGACCUCAGAUGAGGCAUUUCAGAGAACUAACUCUGGCAUUGAAAGGGGAAACCUGAAAAAGCUGUAUAUGGGCUCUUUAAAACAACAUGUUAAACAGAAGAUACCUAAAAGCUUCUGACUGAUUUAAAACAUCUAGCAAGAUUAAAAAAUGGAUUAUAAAAGAGACUGGUGGCUGCAGUGGUCAGCACUUUGACUCAAAGCAGGAAGGUUAUGGAUUCCUUCUGUGUUGGCUUUCUCCCACACUCCAGAGACAUACAUGGUAGGUUAAAUGCUAAAUGUGACCCUGCAUACACUUCUGUUUCUCUGUGUUAGCCCAUGUUUUGCCUAAUGGCAGCAGGUACACAGCAGUAAGCUGGAAUACAUAAUGGAUGGACAAAAACUGAAUGGAAAUGCAAAGUUUGUCAUUUUUAUUCUAGUGGGUAGAUGAUAAAAAAAAAGCUGAUUUUAUGGUUGAUUUGUUCUGUUGAUUUGUUCUCACUACCUGAACUGAGCUAUGAAUCUAGUUUACUAAACAGAUUUCUUUCAUCUGAAAAUUGGGAGGGAACAUUAAGUGGAAGGUCUGCAGAUGCUCCCCCCAUGAAAUUUUUUAAACUUAGUUUUCAUCAUUUUUAUGCAGCAACUUAUCUAUUUUCUGCAUCUGUUUAUGGUGGAAAUGUAUGUAAUCAUGUAAAGGAAACACAAAAGAAAGAUGUCUGCUUGCAGAAAUUAUUUUUGUGAACAAGUAAUCAAUAUAAAGAAAUGAUCAUUUCAAUUCACACGUUGGUGCUAUUCUGUCGUCAUGUUAUCUACUUUUGCACCUGGGUCAGUCAGGAAAUACGUUGCUGCACCAUCUCAGAUUUUGUCACCUUUAGAAAUGUGUUCACUGGAACUAAAAAGUAAGUUCUGUAAAAUAUUUUAGCUGAAUGUUAAGAAUUGUGAUGUUUUCAGACCUGGGAAAUUUUGUAUUUUUAUCCUUUAAAAAAGUUACCUGUGAAGCAACUUCCAGCACCAUGACAAUUUUCUGGUUGUACAAAUGAGUGAAGCUAGCCAUUUUGGCAUGUUAAAAUAAAAAAAUAAAUAAAAUCCUGGUGGGGCAUAUUUGCCACAUAUCUAAUUCUACUAAUAUGAUGGCCUCAAACACUUGCCUCUGGUUGGUGAAAAGUUGACCCAAGAUUGUAUUUUCAGUAGGACAUAUGGAUUACUUUUUGGACACUUACAGGAACUUUCUGGUGCCCCUGUACCACACUCAUUCAAAAAUGUUGUACUUUUUUCCAUUUUCAAGGGCCUACGAUUAAAAAUUAGAUAGUCUCUCCGGGUGAGAUGGUCUGAAAACAUCACAUUUUCAAGAUUAGGCCAAAACAUUGACAUAACUUAGUUUCGGUCCCAAAUAACAAUUAACUAAAUGCUGAACAAAAUUUGAGACGGUGAAACAACACUGAACUACAGAAUGGGCUGUUCAGAAGAGUGUUAAUGUUAGAUACAGAGCCUGACAUUGAGGUUUGAAUGUCAGCGCUGACUGUAAUUUCCUGUCAUGAACUGCAUGUUAGAGCAUACAAACUGCAGCACUUAUUGUGAACAGGUCCAAUGACAAGGCUGAUAGACUGAUCCUGGAAGAAGAAACGUCUUUUGCAGCAUCGACUCGCAUUGCUAAUUCUGUAUAGUCACAAAAGUGCAUUAUGGGUGGUAAAGAUGCAGAUAAACACAGAUCAGCAGGGACAGAGGAGUAAACAGAGCAUGUCCUACCACAGAGGUUGUUUUCACACUUCUGGAGGUUUUCUGGACAUCUGGAGCACCAGUCACCUUCAACAUACGGCCGCUGGUCUUCGUAGUUCCCCCUGAAGACACAUAUAUACACAACAUCACGCUGAUACAACAACUGCAGCUAUUACUAAUAUUAUGUACUUUAAUGUGUCCUCCUCCUGAAGUCAAAGAUAUAUAGAAUAAACACUGUUCAUAGAAUAUGAUUACUGUCCACAAGGGGGAGUGCUUGUUGUACUACUGUAGCAGCAGCAGUAGGAAUAGUACUAACGCUGGGUAGUAGUUGCAGACGAGGAAGGAGACUCUCUCCCAGUCCAAUCCCUCCAUACUGUUACAGAUAUGGAAGGCACAGCCGACUCUGUGUGUGUCCGCCCACACCAUCUGAAACACACACACACACACACACACUUCAAACUGAGGCAUCCACACACACACACACGGUGCCUAUGGAAAUUUCAACAACUGACGACUGAGUUUGGUUCCCCGGAAUAAAAAUUACAGACAUCAGCAACAUCAUUUUGACUAUUUCUUUCUAUACCUGUAACAACAUUUUAGCAGACAGAAUUCCAGGGUGAGAUAUCAACAGUGUCAUUCUGAUCAGUUCAAACCUAAUUUAGCACAGCUAUAAGGGCAAUACCGAUAUUAUGAAUCCAGAAGUAUUAAACAUGUCUUGAACUAGAAUUAUGACUAGCCAUAAUUAAUCUGUAAAAAUUUCAAAGUGAAAUUACCACUAGUCAUGAAUGCAGACACAGUAUCUGCAGUUCACAUUGUGGAUAUCUGCAGCUGUUUUUUUAGAUUUCCUUAAUGGAAAACACAUGAAGGGUAAAUGUGAUGUAAUUUGUCCUUGGAUGAAUGACAGUGUGCAUAUCUGAACUGUUCUGUUGACUGGAAAGAAUUUAAUUACAAAUAUCUGCAAUAUCUAGCUAUGCAAUCUUAAAACAACUUGCCAUAGAUAGUUUAAUUCUAACUAGUCACAAUCCUAAUUCAAGUUAGCUUUAACUCUACUCAAUGCAUUGUCCCUUAUAGAAAUUUUAGAAAGUAUCUGAACCAGUCAGAAUCUCAAACUGGAAUUCUGUCUUAUCAGAAUGUAAUUAUAGGUCACAACUUUAACCACAAGUCCCGGGUGAAUGAAGCUCUCGUUCUUUACAAUCUCCCCGCUGAUGAGCUCUUCCUAUGUCACAGCCUUUUCUAAAAACAGCCUUCAUUACUUUUGCUAACACUGUUCAAAUGCUUUGCUCGAUCAAUAUCUAAUCGGAAGCCUUGCGUGCGCAACAAUUCGGACUGGGCAUAAGGAGGCUUCAGAUCUUUAACUAUUACUGUGAACAGGUUCAGACACCUCUAAGUGUAAUUUUAACUGCUCAGAGUGGCAUUCAAGAUAUCUGUAAUGUUAGUUUUCAGAUCACAGUCACAUUCCUUUGUGUCUGACCUGUGUGUAGUGUCCACACAUCUUGUCUUCAUCACAGCUGUUGUUCUGAAAGUCGUAGUCCAAGUGUUCUGCACAUAACAGAAUAGAUAGUGGAAGAACACAAUUAUUAAUACCACACUAUAGAAGUACUCCUAUGCAGAUAAAGGUUGUGUGGCUGUAAGGUACUAAAUAUCAAAAGUAAAAGCAUGCAUUAUACUAGUAAGAAUACACAGUUAAUAGACAAAGCUUAGUGGUAGUAGUAGUAGUUUUCAAAAGUGCUACAAUAAAAAGAGACUGGAUUCCUUUUUUGGUUCUUGAAGACAUUUCACCUCUCAUCUAAGAGACUUCCUGACUUCUAACUAGGAAGAUUCACAUGACACACAGUGUUAAUGGUGUUGAAACGGCCUGGUGGGGGAGGACUCAAGGUACAUGGUAAAUGUGGGGAAACUGCCUGUAAGUCCUUAAGAAGAAUAUAUCUGAAUCUGAAGGUCAUCUAUGUUAAACUAGUACAGCCGUGUCUAAACAGGAGAAGGGGUCUCCACUUACCACGUACUUAUAGUGCUGUCCUAAGAUCCCUCCCCAGGCAGUUCUACCCCAUUUAACACCUUGAGUCAUUUGAGUCUCUAGUAGUUAACCCAGCUAUGUUGUUUUUUGGUAAAAAUGAAUACCAGGGACUCCCAACCCUUCUGUUAGAACUGGAGAAGCCUCAUGGAUGAGAGAUUAAACGUCAUUAAGUACCAAAAAAAAUAGUCCAAUUGUCUUCUACUGCCACACUUAUAACAACCAAGACCUGGACAACUGAAAGUCUACACAGACAGUUCCAGUAUUUACAAGGAAAAUCUCCAUUAAAACAGUAGUCUGCUGUUUGGUGUACAACAAAUAAAGACUUCUACAUUGACUCACCCAGGAACCAUUUCUCCAGAGCCACUCGGAGGUCCAGAGGCCCAGUUCCGGCAAACAGGUUUUCUCCGGUGUCCUCCAGCUCUGGAUUGUGGUUCCAGAUACAUUUUGCAGCGUAGCCCUCUGCAAGCAACUUCAUGCUAGGGUCCCACUUCUGCAGAAAACCAAACAAAGUAAUUAAGAACAAAGUUUUGGAUUAUUUUCCCUAAGAAAAUCCCUUAUGCUUCAUGGGAUCAGAAGGAGAUAUUUUCUGCAGGUUCGGGACGUUUCAGGUUUUAAGGAUUUCAUGCUUUCAUAGCGCUUCAACACAAGAGCUUAUGGAGCAACAGAAGAAACCCGCUGACUGGUGACUGACAAUGAAAACACCCUCUGGAAAUUUAGAAGGUGAACCACAAGAAUAACCUUCAGAUUUCAUCCCUUUUUAACAUGUCAGCUGGCAGCCAAAUCUUUGCAGGCCGCAGUGGAAACCGAUAACAACAAAGUGAUGAAGGAAGUUUUGGUCCUUUGAAAGCCCGUCGAUGUUUUGGUGGAAAUGCAAGUCAUGCUGUUUUGUCAAAGUACAAUGAACAAUCACAAAAUGAACUUGUUUGCAGUUGCAAGUUUUUAGAAAUGGCAGUUGCAUGAAGAGAAAAAACACCAUAUCACCCUAGAAGCUUGUACUUCUAUGGUGCUACACCUGUCAAAUGGCCAUUAUCAGUUCUUAAAACGUCCAAAACAAAGACAAAAAGGCACUACUAAAAGUUCUGCAGUUCAUUCAAAUGCUUUCAUAAAUGUACUGACACAUUUUUCAUAUUCUUAGAUCCCUACACCAGUUUCCUGUUAUACACAAUUGAAUUUAAGAACUCGUGUAUUGUUUAUAAAUCUUUGGUACAGGCCCAAACUGGUUGGAGAGAUGUUUGUGAAAGCCAGGUCUCUCAGAUUUGCUGGGACUAGCCAUUUAGUGGUGCCCAAAAGUUCAGACUUUUUGUUUUAUUUUAUUGUAAACUUUUUCUUAUGUGCUUUCAUUUUUCUCAUCUUCUGUCCACUGUUUUGGUCAUCAUUUUAAAUUAUUCUGUAAGAUUUUGCAAUUUAUAUAACUUGUCUGUGUUUUUUCUCUUUUUUGAUUUAUCUAAUUCAUUUUUUUCUGCUAUAUUUUGUAUUUUAUCUUCAUUUAUUCGUUUUUACCUUUGCCUAUAAAUCACUUUGAAUAAACUUUGUGUAUGCUGGGGAGCUAUAUAAAUGAGCUUGCUUGCUUUGAAUAAUUUCUCCACAACCCCAUUCAACCAAUGUUAUGAUCCUGCUCCAGCCCCUGCCUUUCUUUCCCCUUCUUCCUCUUUUUCCUCCUUUCUCCCUUGAGUCCUGAUUUGUUUCUGCUUUGACCUGUCUCUUUAGCUCCCUCUAUCUGUCUGUCUCCAUUGUUUCACUCACCUGCCUGCACCUGGCUGAUUGCAGUAAUGCACAUCAGCUGCAGCAAUUACCUCACUCUUUUCACCUGUUCUCUACUUCACCUCCUGCUAUUUAAGCCCUGUGCUUUCAUUCACUCCCCGCCGGAUCAUCGACCCACAUACCCUCAAAGACUCACAUCUUCUCAUGGACUCAGGACGUUCUUUUGGAUUUGCUUCCCCACCUUUUUGGACUCCGUUUUCCCCCCUCCUGGAUUUUUUUUCUCACACAUGGACUCAGUUCUCCUCCCGGUUUCUCGUCAGCUCUGCUUCAGUGUCCAGCCAGUUGUUCCUACCUCAUCCCCAUUUUCCCCUGGAUUACCUCAGCCUGUUUUCCCCUCUGUAGUCAGUUCCCCCAUCUAGUGAGUACCCUCCUUAAUUUAGUUUUGUAAAUUCAGUUUAGUUUUGGUAGACUUCCAUUUUGGUAUUCAUAGUGUUUAUUGUCAAGUAUUGAGUUGUUUGGUUUAAUUCUGUCCUCUCAGUUCAGUUCUCCUUUUAUGUAUUGGUUUGGUAUUUGGAUUAAAUAAAUCUAUAGCCUUUA
Molecule: RNA transcript, 12705 nt
Organism: Amphiprion ocellaris (clown anemonefish)
Lineage: Eukaryota; Metazoa; Chordata; Actinopteri; Pomacentridae
Gene: snx21
Gene name: sorting nexin family member 21
Exons: 8
Source: RefSeq, a predicted model, not a curated record